This 1039-nucleotide long non-coding RNA is filed under the name Ursus americanus (American black bear). RNAcentral's name for it is "lncRNA (ENSUAMG00000000161.1)". Lineage: Eukaryota; Metazoa; Chordata; Mammalia; Carnivora; Ursidae. The record is from RNAcentral.
CAGACCCCUGGUUUCACGCCCCCCUCAGCCUCCCGGCGUGCUCCCCGACCAGGGCAUGACCUGGAGGAAGUGACUGCGGCUUAACGGUAGAGGAUGUGCCCUCUGUACCCGAAGGGAGCCUCCCUGAUGCUCCUGUGAUCCUUGGCCAGGAUUCCAGGCGCCUGACCCACGGGUCCUAUUCGAGAGAUUGUGAGUGAUGGGUGAAGGCCCCAAAAAUUGUCUACAGCUUUCUUCAGGCUAUGUGUAUAACUCAGGGAAGGGGCCUCUGUAUUCAGAAGGGCAGCACCAUGAAUUUAAAAUCCUCAGCCCCCUAGAUUCCUGGACCCCAUGUCACUCCCCCACCUGCCUGCUGGACCCUGGGGCCACAGGCUGGUUUAAUUGCUGGCCUGGCUCAUGGCCCACUUCCUCCCCCAGGACAUCUACGAGAACCUGGACCUCCGGCAGAGAAGGGCCUCCAGCCCCGGAUACAUCGACUCCCCCACCUACAGCCGGCAGGGCAUGUCCCCCACCUUUUCCCGCUCGCCUCACCACUACUACCGCUCCGGCGAUUUGUCAACAGCAACCAAGAGCAAAACAAGUGAAGACAUCAGCCAGGCCUCCAAGUACAGUCCAGCCUACUCACCGGACCCCUACUAUGCUGCAGAGUCCGAGUACUGGACCUACCAUGGGUCCCCCAAAGUGCCCCGAGCCAGAAGGUUCUCAUCUGGAGGAGAGGAGGACGACUUCGACCGCAGCAUGCACAAGGUGAGUGGCGUCCACCCUGGACGAGAUGCCUAGACAGGUGUUACUGAGGAUUUGAUCAUUUGCUAGUGACAGAAACCAAAUUCAAACCCACUUACGGUAGAAAAAAGAAACAUGUAGCUUUGCAUAACCCAAAAGUUAAAGGGGAGGGGAAGUUUCAGGUAUGGCUAGAUCCGGCUGUUCAGCAAAUUGCCAUAGGAAAGUUGUCUCUCUCUUCUCCUGUGCUGGCUCACCGCUGCGUUGGCCUCAUGCCCGGGGAAGGUUCUUCUUCUGUGGUGACAAGUGGGUGCCCGCAGCU